GUAUGCUGGAGGUAUCAGAAGUGCGAAUGCUGACAUAAGUAACGAUAAAGCGGGUGAAAAGCCCGCUCGCCGGAAGACCAAGGGUUCCUGUCCAACGUUAAUCGGGGCAGGGUGAGUCGACCCCUAAGGCGAGGCCGAAAGGCGUAGUCGAUGGGAAACAGGUUAAUAUUCCUGUACUUGGUGUUACUGCGAAGGGGGGACGGAGAAGGCUAUGUUGGCCGGGCGACGGUUGUCCCGGUUUAAGCGUGUAGGCUGGUUUUCCAGGCAAAUCCGGAAAAUCAAGGCUGAGGCGUGAUGACGAGGCACUACGGUGCUGAAGCAACAAAUGCCCUGCUUCCAGGAAAAGCCUCUAAGCAUCAGGUAACAUCAAAUCGUACCCCAAACCGACACAGGUGGUCAGGUAGAGAAUACCAAGGCGCUUGAGAGAACUCGGGUGAAGGAACUAGGCAAAAUGGUGCCGUAACUUCGGGAGAAGG
This 476-nucleotide ribosomal RNA is filed under the name Escherichia coli. RNAcentral describes it as "partial 23S ribosomal RNA". It matches the Rfam family "Bacterial large subunit ribosomal RNA", at positions 1268 to 1746 of the family's 2925-position model. Lineage: Bacteria; Pseudomonadati; Pseudomonadota; Gammaproteobacteria; Enterobacterales; Enterobacteriaceae. The record is from RNAcentral.